This 493-nucleotide ribosomal RNA is filed under the name uncultured bacterium. RNAcentral's name for it is "partial 16S ribosomal RNA". It matches the Rfam family "Bacterial small subunit ribosomal RNA", at positions 29 to 523 of the family's 1533-position model. The record is from RNAcentral.
AUUGAACGCUGGCGGCAUGCUUUACACAUGCAAGUCGAACGGUAACAGGUUAAGCUGACGAGUGGCGAACGGGUGAGUAAUGCAUCGGAACGUGCCCGGUCGUGGGGGAUAACGCAGCGAAAGCUGCGCUAAUACCGCAUACGAUCUGAGGAUGAAAGCGGGGGACCGUAAGGCCUCGCGCGAUCGGAGCGGCCGAUGUCAGAUUAGGGAGUUGGUGGGGUAAAGGCACACCAAGCCAACGAUCUGUAGCUGGUCUGAGAGGACGACCAGCCACACUGGGACUGAGACACGGCCCAGACUCCUACGGGAGGCAGCAGUGGGGAAUUUUGGACAAUGGGCGAAAGCCUGAUCCGGCAAUGCCGCGUGCAGGAAGAAGGCCUUCGGGUUGUAAACUGCUUUUGUACGGAGCGAAAAGGUCUCCUCUAAUACAGGGGGCUCAUGACGGUACCGUAAGAAUAAGCACCGGCUAACUACGUGCCAGCCGCCGCCGUAA